Long non-coding RNA from Gopherus evgoodei (Goodes thornscrub tortoise), 122 nucleotides. RefSeq lists it as uncharacterized. The transcript has 3 exons. The record is from RefSeq and is a predicted model, not a curated record. NCBI's taxonomy places the organism in Eukaryota, Metazoa, Chordata, Testudines, Testudinidae.
GAUCACCAUAUUUGGGAUUUGAAAAAAUUUUCUCUCAGGUCAGAUUGGCAGAGACCCUGGGGUUUUUCAUCUUUCUUUGCAGCAUGAGGCACGGAUCAACUGCGGGAGGAUUCUCUGCAGCU